RNAcentral lists this long non-coding RNA (1061 nucleotides) under Sorghum bicolor (sorghum). Its description in RNAcentral is "long non-coding RNA (SBIC_LNC005649)". The record is from RNAcentral. Lineage: Eukaryota; Viridiplantae; Streptophyta; Magnoliopsida; Poales; Poaceae.
AGAAAUGAAAAGAGCAAAAAGAAAACACUACUGUGUAUUAAAACAACAGCUUACCGGCCAGCACACACGGUAUAUAUAUUCUAGCUCUUGCUUAAAACUGACACCUGCCGAAAGAGCACAAACAAAACUGCCCCCCAUCCUCUUGGGGAAUUAACCCCGGAUUCGUUCGUCGUGCCGUGAGAGCAUGGAAAAUGACGGCCGUUUUUUUUUUUUUGAACGGGGUUGGCGUCGCCAUUGAACGCGGUUCGAUCCGAGAGGGCAUUUUACAAAUCGCUGACCCAAUUUCAUUUUCUCGCGUUCCACGCCAACAUCGGAUUUUCUCGCUCAAUCGCGACACGAACGCGGAAACAUGCAGGACGUACCUGAGACGUGCAGGUGCGGCACAAGCUUGUCCGCGCCGCGCGCAAUCAGCUUCCCGUGUGACUCGUUUACAAUAAUAACGAAUAAUGGUCUUUUGAACUAGCUAUUUGCAUUUCUCAUAAUCUAUUUCUUUAUAAACUGGUAUAUGAUGACUUGUAGGGGUAUCAUUUUUUUUUCUUAAUUUAAGUAUGUGAAACCUCAACUCUUUUAGUACAGUUAAAUAUCUAUUCUUAUCUAUUAUUUAUGACAUACAUGUUUAAAUUUUACAUGUAGUUAUCAUAUACCGUUAUUAGAACUUGCCAAGUGUGCAAGGGGGUGUGUGUCACGGGCCUGUAGCAGCCCACCCCCAUGCCAACUGUACGCCCGCAACCGCAAGGCUUGUGCAGCACACGGCCCACGCACCUCCGGCUUCCGCCCUUAUCCAGCCCGCGAACGGUCUUGUUUAGUUACAUUUUUUUUUUCAAAAUCGACACUGUAAUAUUUUUAUUUGUAUUUAACAAAUAUUGUUUAUUUAUAUACUAACUAGAUUUAAAAAAUCCAUCUCAUAUAAUACAGAUAAAUUGUUCAAUUAAUUUUUUUAAUCUAUAUUUAAGGUUUUGUACAUAUAGCGUAAGAUUUGGUGUGACGAAGAAUCUAAAAGUUUUUAUAAAAAAUUAUGAGGAACUAAAUAAGGCCAUAUUAUUUCACUUUCAUCUACAGCA